AGUAGAACGCAAAUAAGGUUGAGGUUGAGCAGUGGGACAACUCAAAAGCUCAUUGAACAGUUCUUGUUUAUCUACCACGUGCCUGGGUGGCACUGUUGUUCUAAGUGCCUGGAGUCUUGUGAUUACAAGACAGACAGGGUCCCUGUCCUUGUGCAACUUAAGACGACCGAAUACCCAAGUAGAGUUAAAACUGGGAGAUAGUCACCACUGAAGAGGAGGUGACUCAGUGCCUAUAAGGAACUCAGGGGCUUCUUGAAAGAGAGACAUCAAAGCCCCAAACUCCAAUCACCAUGAUUCAAAGUUAGGAUGCAUUCAUCAAGUAGUGUUGAUUAAAGUCUUCUAAAAGGAGAAUGGGCCAAGAAUUGCAAGAGUAGAAUGCACCAGGAAAGAUGUCAACUCAGAAUUCAUGGAGGUGGAGAGGAGAGUUCUAAAUAGGUGCCUGAUUAGAUGUAGCUCAAAUGCCAGCUCCCUCCCUCACAUUUGGAAGCACAAGCUUAUGGAUGGCAUUUACAGCGUGUAAUGCAGAAUGGAUACAGCACUUCCUACAGUGGGAAGAUCCAGAAACUGAGCUAAUCUGUGGAAGCAGGAGCCCAUGGUGCCUUUCGGAGGUGUUUGCACUGAUUACAUCAACUCCUCCUUGUCUUCUCCCGUCUCAGUAAAGUCUACAAAUAGACAGCAUCUUUGUGCAGGUGGGUUUUCUGUGGAAAAUGGAGAAGAAUCAAGUUUCACCUCUGCGUUCAUUCAAUAAUCUAUGGGAAAGUCUUUGAAUUUAUAUAGGCUAUAGAAUUGGGAAUGUGUUUUAAUCCAGUUCUACGUAGAUCUUAAGAGGUGGGAGAAGCUCCUUGUUGGCAUCUGGGUUGUACACAUUAUCUGAAAAAUAAGCUAAAAUUUUUUGAACUACAGUGGAGAAUGGAAGUGGCUGUAACUAGCCUAUGAAUUCUUUGAGGAGGCACUGUUCUCAAUCCUUGCUAUUCAAACAGAGUGGUCCAAGGUACAACAGCAUCAGCACCACCUGGAAGUGUAUUAGAAACACAGAUUUCCAGGGUCAAUCACAGACCUGCUGACUGAGAAUCUGCAUUUCAGUAAAAUCCCUGAUGCACACUGAGAAGCCCUGUGAGUCUGGUACUACGCCUUACUCACUGCCGAAGGAGAGGAAAGAUGCAAGGCAGGAAGGCAGGAGACAAUCUUAUUUUGAAACUUCUUACAUUAGAUUAUCCAUAAAUAAAUAUUUUAAGACUUUAUAAAAAAGGUGA
This is a non-coding RNA of Microcebus murinus (gray mouse lemur), 1253 nucleotides long. Lineage: Eukaryota; Metazoa; Chordata; Mammalia; Primates; Cheirogaleidae. The record is from RefSeq and is a predicted model, not a curated record.